Molecule: small nuclear RNA, 104 nt
Organism: Chionomys nivalis (European snow vole)
Lineage: Eukaryota; Metazoa; Chordata; Mammalia; Rodentia; Cricetidae
Source: RefSeq, a predicted model, not a curated record
GUGCCUGCUUCAGUAGCACAAAUACUAAAAUUCAAACAACAAAUAGAUUAGCAUGGUCCCUGUACAAGGAUUACACAAAUCCGUGAAAGAGUCCGUAUCUUAAU